AAUUCAAUUAUCGGUGUAAGUGAGAAAGAAGGGUUUAACUUUACUCAGACGGAG
Molecule: transfer RNA, 54 nt
Filed under: Prymnesium neolepis
Lineage: Eukaryota; Haptophyta; Prymnesiales; Prymnesiaceae
Description: partial tRNA
Source: RNAcentral